CAGCCGCCGCGGUAAUACAGAGGGUGCGAGCGUUAAUCGGAUUUACUGGGCGUAAAGCGUGCGUAGGCGGCUUCUUAAGUCGGAUGUGAAAUCCCUGAGCUUAACUUAGGAAUUGCAUUCGAUACUGGGAAGCUAGAGUAUGGGAGAGGAUGGUAGAAUUCCAGGUGUAGCGGUGAAAUGCGUAGAGAUCUGGAGGAAUACCGAUGGCGAAGGCAGCCAUCUGGCCUAAUAAUGACGCUGAGGUACGAAAGCAUGGGGAGCAAACAGGAUUAGAUACCCCAGUAGUCCCUGUCUCUUAUAC
Molecule: ribosomal RNA, 301 nt
Filed under: uncultured bacterium
Lineage: Bacteria
Description: partial 16S ribosomal RNA
Rfam family: Bacterial small subunit ribosomal RNA
Source: RNAcentral